Non-coding RNA from Podarcis lilfordi (Lilford's wall lizard), 935 nucleotides. The record is from the annotation of a GenBank genome assembly. NCBI's taxonomy places the organism in Eukaryota, Metazoa, Chordata, Lepidosauria, Squamata, Lacertidae.
GCUUCCUUCUUAGCCAAUCGGGAAUCCAUAGUGCUUAGAGCGACGUUGGGAGAACCACUCGACGACCGCGUUGCUCUGUUUCUCCUGCCAAUCGCGGAAUGCCAGAGCAGGGUGGCAUCGAGUAACCAAUCAGUGAUGGGAGGCGGGUCGGCUUAUGCUUCCCUAUCCGCCGUAAGACCAGCCCUACUAAUUUUCGCGCGCUCCUCGGGUCAUGAGGUGCCUUGAAGUGCAGGGGGCGGGACUAAACUCAAUUUCCACGGACACUUGGCUUCUCUGAUUCUGAAAUUUGCUUAUAAGUCCUGUUCACUAUUACGUACUUGGAAGCAAGCCCCACUGAAGUUAAUGGAACUAACUUUUGAGUAAAAAAAACACAGACUCAGAUGCGCAAGUGAAAAGCUGAAGUAACAGCAUAACCAAAAUAUGUGAGAUGGGCUGUAACUAUUAGCAAACGCUCCCACUAUCAUUGCUGUAAUUGCCUUCCCUGCACUUUAAGGCAAGCCAUCUUAUUUAUUUAUUUAUUGGGGCACAGAGGGCUAAAUGGUCACCAAGGUGAGGUAGCAGCAGCAUUAAUGUUUGCUGCUAUCACAGCCAAAUAUUAGACCUUCAAUGGGUCUCUAAGGUGUUUGGUCAAAUUAAUUUUGAAUUUCUGCCUUCCCUGCUUUUUCAUCACACAAAGCUUUCCAUUAAAUGACAGGAAAGCCCAGCUCAACAAGGGCAGAAGGAUUCUAGGGAGUGAAACUGCCAAGGGCCCUGAAUUGGCUGAUCUCGUGAUCAACAAGGCUACUGGCAAAACUAGCAAAACUCCUAGAGUCCACAAAGAUGCCCAGAUCUCCAGGGACCACUUUGAAGAGUUCCUCACGCUCACAGACUGAGGUUGUGGGCCUCCAAGACCUAUGACCAGACAAGAUCUGAGUAAAUAAAGAAACUGCACAGAG